GGAGCGAGCAAGUAAAUCUACCCGAAGAAUUAGAAUCAUACCCGAGGAAUUAGGGCUUGGUUCGUGGUCUCGUUUGCUUCCGCUUAUUGAAGGAUUAGGGUUUCUUCCAGGAAGACCAGUCCCGAGAAGGGAAGCGUAGAGAAGUCCUCUCGCCAUGGGCGACGAGUACGAGGGGCUGGAACGGUUCGGAAUGGAGAAUGACUACGAGGGCGGUGAGUGGAUCGGCGGCGAGUUCUACUAUCGCCGGAAGAAGGAGCGCCCCGUCCAGACCCGAGACGACGUCAUCUACGGUGCCUUCGCCGCCGGAUCCAGCGACUCCGAUUCCGACGGUGGCGGAGGCCGCCGUUCCCGGAAGCGCCGCAAGGGGGACCUCGUCUCCAAGCCCGACCUCUCCAAGCCCGUACGCUUCGUCUCUACCGGUACCGUCAUGCCCAACCAGGAAAUCGAUCGGGAUCUCAAGGAGGAGGGUAACCGUGCCGCCGAGGCUCCUGAUCUUAGCCAGGGGCUGGGAUAUGGCUUAGGGUUCCGGGCCGACAAAAAGGAGCCCGAGGGCGAUGAGGAUGAGGACGAGGAUAGCUUCCUCCCGACGGCCUUUGGGAGGAAAAUCAAGGAAGGGGCGCAGCGACGGGAGAAGGAGAAGGAGUGGGAGAGAGAGAAAUCGAAGACGGCCAAGAAACCCCUUGGGAAAAGGGACGUUUCAGGUGCGGACGAGAUUGGGAAGUUCCAGUCUUACACGAAGGGCAUAGGAUUUAAGCUCAUGAAGAUGAUGGGGUACAAGGAAGGAUCUGGAUUGGGGAAGAAUGAGCAAGGUAUUGUUGCCCCAAUUGAGGCGAAGCUCCGUCCAAAGAACAUGGGAAUGGGGUUCAAUGACUACAAAGAAGCCAAAUUGCCAGCCCUGGACGAGCCACUGCAGGAGAAGGCGGCCUCCUCAGUACUGCCCGGACGUUCAAAGGAAAAGAGGUGGUUGAAGCAGAAACAAGGGAAGAAGAAAGUUGAAAUUUUGACAGCGGAUGAGCUGCUUGCCAAGAAGCAGGAACAAGGUAUCGAGGUUGUCCAGAAGGUUCUUGAUAUGAGGGGACCACAAGUUAAGGUUUUGAUGAGUCUGGAGAAUUUGAAUGCCGAGGACGAGAUGAAAGAGAAUGAGGUGCCCAUGCCUGAGCUCCAGUAUAAUGUGAGGCUAAUUGUGGACUCUACCGAGGUUGACAUACAAAAGCUUGAUCGGGAUUUGAGGAGGGAGAGGGAGAAGGUGGUUAGCUUGCAGAUGGAGAAAGAGAAGAUUUUGAAGGAAGAGAUGAGACAGAGGCAGCAGCUACAAGUGAUGGAGACGAUUGCUAGAGUAUUAGAAAGGGUGAAAGAUGAUAACUUGUCAGGGGUGCUGACACUUGAUUCACUGUUGGCUACAUUCAGAGACAUUAAAGAGAGGUUCAGGGAGGACUACAAGCUCUGCAACAUCUCUUGUGUUGCCUGUGCAUUUGCAUACCCCUUACUGCUCCGUGUUUUUCAAGGAUGGGAGCCAUUGCAGAAUCCCUUGCAUGGCAUGAGUCUUAUAUCAUCUUGGAGGGACUUGUUGCAAGGGGAUCAACCUCAUGAUUUCUCCGAAAAUAUUUCGACUGCUUCUCCUUAUGCUCAGCUGGUCAGCGAGGUUAUUCUCCCUGCAGUGAGGAUAUCGGGGACUAACACAUGGCAGGCUAGGGAUCCAGAGCCAAUGCUUCGAUUUUUGGAAGCAUGGGAAAGGUUACUGCCUCCGGUGGUUCUGCAGUCAGUUUUGGAGAAUGUGGUUAUGCCAAAGCUAACGGCCGCUGUUGAGACAUGGGAUCCACGUCGAGAGACUGUUCCGAUUCAUGUUUGGGUUCACCCAUGGCUCCCCUUGCUAGGACAGAGAUUGGAGACCUUAUACCAAACAAUUCACUACAAGCUAGGUAGUGUUCUUCAUGUUUGGCAUGCAAGUGAUGCAUCAGCUUAUGCUGUACUUUCUCCAUGGAAGGAUGUUUUUGAUGCAGCUAGUUGGGAGGAUCUGAUGGUGCGGUAUAUUGUUCCAAAGUUAAGGAUUUCUCUGCAGGAAUUUCAAGUGAACCCAGCUAAUCAGAAUUUAGAUCAGUUUAAUUGGGUGAUGAUGUGGGCAUCUGUGAUCCCAAUUCACCAUAUGGUUCACAUGUUGGAGGUUGAUUUCUUCAGCAAGUGGCAGCAAGUGUUAUAUCAUUGGCUGUGCUCAAAUCCUAACUACAAUGAAGUUAUGCAGUGGUAUAUGGGUUGGAAGGGCCUCUUCCCAGCAGAACUACUAGCCAAUGAGCGGAUUCGAAUGCUCCUAAGUGCAGGUUUGGAUAUGAUGAACCAGGCUGUAGAAGGCAUGGAAGUGGUGCAACCUGGUGCUAGAGAGAAUGUCAGCUAUCUAAGAGCUACAGAAAAGCGACAGUUUGAAGCACAGCAGCAGACAGCGGCUUAUUCAUCAGUCCAUGUAAAUGGUAUGGCCAGUGUGCAUGAAAUGAGCUUUAAGGAAUCUAUUGAGGCUUAUGCAAUGGAGCAAGGCCUCCUCUUCUUACCCAAAGUUGGUAGAUCUUAUAAUGGUCUCCCUGUAUAUGGCUUUGGCAAUGUAAGCAUUUGUAUAGACUCAGUGAAGCAACUGCUUUAUGCACAAGUCCAGGAGGGAACUGAGAGAUGGAGUGCUGUAUCGCUCACACAGUUGCUGGAGAUGCAUCAGAAUGCCGCUCGUCGUUGAAUCAAUGUCAUUCUUCUCACCCCCACAUUGCCUGCAUUAAACUAGCAGUAGGCCAUGGCAGUGAGAAGAAGGGGAGGAUCUUAUGGCAGAUACACUUUGUGUUGUUUUAGCCUCACCUUGGUUCCCCACUUUGACAACCUUGACAUCCUUCAUCGCUGUCCAUGUCUGCUUUCCAUCAUCAUCAGCAAGGGCAAGCAAGUGAGAUCCUCAGUACUAGGAAGAAUUCUUACUGCCGACACCUGUGAGUUAAACAAAUUAUGCAGGUAAUGGACUUUCUCUCAGCUAUUGGAAACUUCGUUAAUAAAUCUGGAUAAGAUCUGUGGGGAAGCAAAUAUCAAGUUGGUCAUUCCACGCUCUUAUGGUCUUACAGGUAUGGUUAGAAUAAGCAUCAAGGUAACCAAAAAAGUAUAUAGAUGGUUAUAGAUCUUGCUUCCUUUUCUAAGUCUCCAUACAUCUGUUUCUCAUUCACACAAGUAAUUUUAUUGGAUGCCCAUGUGAGUUCUCCUUUUAACAUUGAUAGGAGCACAUCAUAAUUGAGAUAAAACCUGAUCAUUUUCUAGACGACCUUUGAAUUCACAAUCCUGGUCUGAGCUCAUAGAGUGAGUAUUUUAUGUCAUUUUUUAAAAAAUAUUAAAAUAACAAACACGGUUGACUUAUUAUUGUAUUUAAGUUUCUUUAUUUUUCACUUGUAAUGAUUUCGAGACCUUACCUUACUCUCUGUUUGAUUUGAGCUCUGGUGAUAAACAUUAAUAACCCUUAUGUAUUCUUAUUAUUGUAUAAUUUUAAGGGUUCUGAAAAACAAUUGACUUAAGUGUCAUAGAUCCAGUUAUACACAAACAUAAGACAUAUAUAGUUAUUCUUAUUAACCUCGCAGAAAACAAUGAGCCAAAGAAUAUGUUGGAUGCUUGCUAUCUAAAAGAAAGACUUUUAAGGGGCAGGAUUUGAUUUCUGUAGGCUUAUGUUUUUUUAGUAUGUACUAGGGGUAUUUAAAUCAAUUCGAAUUGAACUGUUAAGGGUUAAAUCGAUCUGAAUCAUUUUUUCGGUUCGAUUCGAUUAAAAUAAGGUAGUUCGAAUUGGAACCGAUAUGGAUCUACCCACUCAAAUCGAUUCAAAAUCGAUUAAUCUGAUUUGAUUAACUAAUUUAU
RNA transcript from Musa acuminata subsp. malaccensis (wild Malaysian banana), 3861 nucleotides. It is a transcript of the gene named septin and tuftelin-interacting protein 1 homolog 1-like, with no coding region annotated. The record is from RefSeq and is a predicted model, not a curated record. Lineage: Eukaryota; Viridiplantae; Streptophyta; Magnoliopsida; Zingiberales; Musaceae.